UGGUUCUGGCAUCGAUGAAGAACGCAGCGAAAUGCGAUAAGUAGUGUGAAUUGCAGACUUUAGUGAAUCAUCGAAUCUUUGAACGCACAUUGCGCCCCUUGGUAUUCCAUUGGGCAUGCCUGUUCGAGCGUCAUUUACCCCCUCAAGCUCCGCUUGGUGUUGGGCGUCUGUCCGCGCUCUCAGCGUGGACUCGCCCCAAAUCCAUUGGCGGCGGCUCCGUCGGCUUCCCGCGCAGCACUUUGCGCUCCCGGAGGCUCUCGACGGGCCCGCGUCCAUACAGGAAACCCCAUCGUUCUGACCUCGAAUCAGGUAGGGAUACCCGCUGA
This 326-nucleotide unclassified non-coding RNA is filed under the name uncultured fungus. Its description in RNAcentral is "partial contains 5.8S ribosomal RNA and internal transcribed spacer 2". The stretch from base 1 to 133 matches the Rfam family "5.8S ribosomal RNA", at positions 22 to 154 of the family's 154-position model. Lineage: Eukaryota; Fungi. The record is from RNAcentral.